CAAACUGUAGUUAUGCUGUAGUAGUGAUUGAAUUAUAAGAUUAUGUUUUACAGUGUUAUGAGUAUGUGUCCAUUACAUCUAAACACUGUAAGAUGUAAUGGACACAUCCUCUUCAUUCAUCGGAAUAGUAGUGUCUUGAACAUAUCAAUUAGUGUUCAUUGUCUGUGUGCGAGGACACACUUAAAGGGAAAGUCUGUGCCUGUGUCUGUGUUGCAUUAGCGAUGCCUAUUUUACGGCAGCUGUUAAACCCAUCAGUGCACCUGGCCAUGGGGGAAUCCUUUUAUUGCGGACACAUGACUGAGCAUCCCCUGAAGUCCCUCUCCCCUUCGGAGGUGCAGCUGUCAGGUUAACGGGUUCCAGGGAAAGACAUAAACACGUGAAGCCCCAGAGCCAAGAUGGACACCUGCCUACUGCCAUGGUCCCUAUACAGAGUCACGGAAACAGAGCAAAUAUGGUCCCUGGACCCAGCAGCUCUGGGUAGAUUCCAGCCCUCUCGACUCACAUUCCCGUACUCUCCGUGAAACAGAACUAACGAUGUGUCUCCCUUUCCCAGCAGCCCCGGCCUACUGGUAUUACUCAAAACGAUGGCACGUAAUGUGUCUAAAAUACAGCAAGUAGAGAACGGGCAGUGAAGUGACAGACAGGAAUCUCUUGGAUGGAUCCAUACCUGCACUUGCGUUUCAUGUUUCAGUCAUUUAGCAAACAUUUUUAUCCAGAGAGACUUGCUCAAGGGCUCAACAUGCUUGCAUUGUAUUUUGGAUUUGACUGAUGCAAAUAUUCUUGUCACUGGCAGUAUUCUAACACAUUGUUUGGUUUGCAUUGCUUAAAUAAUAUAUUGAUGGUAACAGAGAAUGUCAGACAGAUCCAAUGAGACAUUAAACACAGUGAGAGACUGCAUUUCUUUAAAAGAUCUGCCCUAAUUACAUUUUCAUCUGAAAUAUGUGAGAAGAUAGAAUGUGGAUUCUAUUGGAGUAAUGCUGGGACAGAGGCAGUACUAGUUUCAAGGUUUAUUUCUCAAAUGCACCAAACAACACAGCGCCAUCCUGCACAAUGAAAUUCUUGUGACAUGGCACCUGACAACUAUGUAGCAAGAAUUAACAAGAAAAUUAAAUAAGCUAAAAUAUAGCCAAACAAAAAAUAAAGCAAUAAUAUACUGUGCACUUGCAGUACUGUAAACUGGCAGCAGUCUGGGUAGUAGUAUUAAACAUUAUAGAUAUGGCAAGUAUAGCAAUACUAUACAUAACGAUGUAAUUUGGUAGAAUUAUUGAAUAUUAUAGCAUAUUAUAGAUACAUAUGAGUGUAAUAAGCUUAUGAGUUGUGGCAUAGCACAAUUCAGCAAAUUCACUUUUCAGCAAAUUUAACUUGUUUAGCUUCUAAUGUUUUUAUUGCCCCUAUAGCCCUUCUGGGACAUUUGAUGCACAAGGCCUUCUGGCACAGAGCUGAUUGUGAGCUACCUACCACGAUUCCAGCAUAUUGCAGCCUUACCAUUGUAAAGCAGUCUGGGUUGAGUAGCCGAUGCUAAUGCGAACAAUUAUUCUACACUUAUUACAGUGUAUUAUAUUUAACAGUUAUAUUGUUCGGUCUACUUGUGCGUUCAAUAAAACCUUAUUUGAAACAGACA
Molecule: long non-coding RNA, 1621 nt
Organism: Esox lucius (northern pike)
Lineage: Eukaryota; Metazoa; Chordata; Actinopteri; Esociformes; Esocidae
Source: Ensembl